RNAcentral lists this ribosomal RNA (460 nucleotides) under uncultured bacterium. RNAcentral's name for it is "partial 16S ribosomal RNA". It matches the Rfam family "Bacterial small subunit ribosomal RNA", at positions 338 to 795 of the family's 1533-position model. The record is from RNAcentral.
CCUACGGGAGGCAGCAGUGAGGAAUAUUGGUCAAUGGACGAGAGUCUGAACCAGCCAAGUAGCGUGAAGGAUGACUUCCCUAUGGGUUGUAAACUUCUUUUAUAUGGGAAUAAAAUGUUCCACGUGUGGGAUUUUGUAUGUACCAUAUGAAUAAGGAUCGGCUAACUCCGUGCCAGCAGCCGCGGUAAUACGGAGGGUCCGAGCGUUAUCCGGAUUUAUUGGGUUUAAAGGGAGCGUAGGUGGAUUGUUAAGUCAGUUGUGAAAGUUUGCGGCUCAACCGUAAAAUUGCAGUUGAAACUGGCAGUCUUGAGUACAGUAGAGGUGGGCGGAAUUCGUGGUGUAGCGGUGAAAUGCUUAGAUAUCACGAAGAACUCCGAUUGCGAAGGCAGCUCACUGGACUGCAACUGACACUGAAGCACGAAAGCGUGGGGAUCAAACAGGAUUAGAUACCCUUGUAGUC